GAGCUGGAUUUGGCAGCACAUAUACUAAAACUGGAACAAUACAGAGAUGAUUAGCAUGGCCCCUGAGCAGGGGUGAUAUGCAAAUUCUUAAAGAAUUCUAUGUUCGC
Molecule: small nuclear RNA, 107 nt
Organism: Erinaceus europaeus (western European hedgehog)
Lineage: Eukaryota; Metazoa; Chordata; Mammalia; Eulipotyphla; Erinaceidae
Source: Ensembl